AUUGAACGCUGGCGGCAUGCCUUACACAUGCAAGUCGAACGGCAGCACGGGUACUUGUACCUGGUGGCGAGUGGCGAACGGGUGAGUAAUACAUCGGAACGUACCUUAUCGUGGGGGAUAACGCAGCGAAAGCUGUGCUAAUACCGCAUACGCCCUUAGGGGGAAAGCGGGGGAUCGCAAGACCUCGCGCGAUUAGAGCGGCCGAUGCCUGAUUAGCUUGUUGGUGGGGUAAAAGCCCACCAAGGCGACGAUCAGUAGCUGGUCUGAGAGGACGAUCAGCCACACUGGGACUGAGACACGGCCCAGACUCCUACGGGAGGCAGCAGUGGGGAAUUUUGGACAAUGGGGGAAACCCUGAUCCAGCAAUGCCGCGUGAGUGAAGAAGGCCUUCGGGUUGUAAAGCUCUUUUGUCAGGGAAGAAACACCGGCUCUAACACAGUCCGGGAAUGACGGUACCUGAAGAAUAAGCACCGGCUAACUACGUGCCAGCAGCCGCGGUAAUACGUAGGGUGCAAGCGUUAAUCGGAAUUACUGGGCGUAAAGCGUGCGCAGGCGGUUAUACAAGACAGGCGUGAAAUCCCCGGGCUUAACCUGGGAAUGGCGCCUGUGACUGUAUAGCUAGAGUGUGUCAGAGGGGGGUAGAAUUCCACGUGUAGCAGAGAAAUGCGUAGAUU
This 674-nucleotide ribosomal RNA is filed under the name uncultured bacterium. Its description in RNAcentral is "bacterial SSU rRNA". It matches the Rfam family "Bacterial small subunit ribosomal RNA", at positions 28 to 696 of the family's 1533-position model. The record is from RNAcentral.